Molecule: ribosomal RNA, 603 nt
Filed under: uncultured bacterium
Lineage: Bacteria
Description: bacterial SSU rRNA
Rfam family: Bacterial small subunit ribosomal RNA
Source: RNAcentral
CAGUCGAGGGGCAGCAUGAUUGAAGCUUGCUUCAUCGAUGGCGACCGGCGCACGGGUGAGUAACACGUAUCCAACCUGCCGAUAACUCGGGGAUAGCCUUUCGAAAGAAAGAUUAAUACCCGAUAGCAUAGUAUUUCCGCAUGGUUUCACUAUUAAAGAACUUCGGUUAUCGAUGGGGAUGCGUUCCAUUAGAUAGUUGGCGGGGUAACGGCCCACCAAGUCAACGAUGGAUAGGGGUUCUGAGAGGGAGGUCCCCCACAUUGGAACUGAGACACGGUCCAAACUCCUACGGGAGGCAGCAGUGAGGAAUAUUGGUCAAUGGACGAGAGUCUGAACCAGCCAAGUAGCGUGAAGGAUGACUGCCCUAUGGGUUGUAAACUUCUUUUAUACGGGAAUAAAGUGGAGUAUGCAUACUCCUUUGUAUGUACCGUAUGAAUAAGGAUCGGCUAACUCCGUGCCAGCAGCCGCGGUAAUACGGAGGAUCCGAGCGUUAUCCGGAUUUAUUGGGUUUAAAGGGAGCGUAGGCGGGUGCUUAAGUCAGUUGUGAAAGUUUGCGGCUCAACCGCAAAAUUGCAGUUGAUACUGGGCGCCUUGAGUGCAGCA